This 569-nucleotide ribosomal RNA is filed under the name Trigonopterus dentipes. RNAcentral's name for it is "partial 16S ribosomal RNA". Lineage: Eukaryota; Metazoa; Arthropoda; Insecta; Coleoptera; Curculionidae. The record is from RNAcentral.
AGAUAGAAMCCGMCCUGGCUCMCACCGGUUUAAACUCAGAYCAUGUAAAAUUUUAAAGGUCGAACAGACCUAAUUUAUUAGCUUCUACACCAAUAAUUAAUUUUAAUCCAACAUCGAGGUCGCAAUCUUCCUUUUCGAUAAGAACUCUAAAAAAAAUUACGCUGUUAUCCCUAAGGUAAUUUAAUCUUUUAAUCUAAAUCUUAGGAUCAUAAAUCUAAAAAUAAAUAUUAAAAUAAAGAAAAGUUAACUUAAUUUUCCUAUCACCCCAACAAAAUAUACAAAAACAAAAUCUAAAUAAAAUAAACCUUAUAUCCAAAUAUGUAUUUAUAUAUAAAACUCUAUAGGGUCUUCUCGUCUUCUAUGAAAAUUUAAGCUUUCUUACUUAAAAAUAAAAUUCUAAUAAAUUUCUUUAGAGACAGUCAUUUUUUCAUUAAACCCUUCAUCCCAGCUUUCAAUUAAAAAACUAAUGACUAUGCUACCUUUGCACGGUCAAUAUACCGCGGCCAUUUAAGUACUCASUGGGCAGGKCAGACUUGAAAUUAUUAUCAACAAGCCAUGKUUUUAAUAAC